Molecule: ribosomal RNA, 626 nt
Filed under: uncultured fungus
Lineage: Eukaryota; Fungi
Description: eukaryotic LSU rRNA
Rfam family: Eukaryotic large subunit ribosomal RNA
Source: RNAcentral
CCCGCUGAACUUAAGCAUAUCAAUAAGCGGAGGAAAAGAAACCAACAGGGAUUGCCUCAGUAACGGCGAGUGAAGCGGCAACAGCUCAAAUUUGAAAUCUGGCUCUUUCACGGUCCGAGUUGUAGUUUGUAGAAGAUGCUUCGGGUGUGGUGCCGGCCUGAGUUCCUUGGAACAGGACGUCAUACAGGGAGAGAGUCCCGUACGUGACUGGCCACCUUCGCCUGUGUGAAGCUCUUUCGACCAGUCGAGUUGUUUGUGAAUGCAACUCAAAAUGGGAGGUAAAUUUCAUCUCAAGCUAAAUAUUGGUCAGAGACCGAUAGCGCACAAGUAGAGUGAUCGAGAGAUGAAAAGCACUUUGGAAAGAGAGAUAAACAGUACGUGAAAUUGUUGAUAGGGAAGCGCUUGCGACCGGACUUGCACGUAGCUGAUCAUCCUGGGUUCUCCCCGUGGCACUUGCCUACCUUCAGCCCAGUAUUGGUUUCGGUGGUUGGAUAAAGGCCUAGGGAAUGUGGCUCUCUUCGGGGAGUGUUAUAGCCCUAGGUGCAAUGCAGCCUACUGGGACCGAGGACCGCGCUCCGGCUAGGAUGCUGGCGUAAUGGUUGUCAGCGACCCGUCUUGAAACACGG